AUGUGGUUGUCCAACUCCGGCGGCUCAUGCUCUUCUCCAGUGCACUCUGCCCGUUCAAGAUCGGGAGAAUCGUGGUCCUGCUGGGCCGACAGUGACCUCUCCGAUCCUGCAGGCCACCACCACCGCUCCCCCUGCCAGCAACUCCGCCGACCAGUUGUCGCCGCCUCCGGCAUCGACUCCUGCACCCCUGUCGACGGCUAUGCUGACUGA
RNAcentral lists this ribosomal RNA (210 nucleotides) under Triticum aestivum (bread wheat). Its description in RNAcentral is "partial small subunit ribosomal RNA". The record is from RNAcentral. Lineage: Eukaryota; Viridiplantae; Streptophyta; Magnoliopsida; Poales; Poaceae.